Molecule: non-coding RNA, 31 nt
Filed under: Rattus norvegicus (Norway rat)
Lineage: Eukaryota; Metazoa; Chordata; Mammalia; Rodentia; Muridae
Source: RNAcentral
UACCAACAGGCUCAUUUGCCGUGCACAUGGU